UACGAAGGGGGCUAGCGUUGUUCGGAAUCACUGGGCGUAAAGGGCGCGUAGGCGGCUUUAUAAGUCGGGGGUGAAAGCCUGUGGCUCAACCACAGAAUUGCCUUCGAUACUGUAUGGCUUGAGACCGGAAGAGGUAAGUGGAACUGCGAGUGUAGAGGUGAAAUUCGUAGAUAUUCGGAGGAACACCAGUGGCGAAGGCGGCUCACUGGCUCGAUACUGACGCUGAGGUGCGAAAGCGUGGGGAGCAAACAGG
Molecule: ribosomal RNA, 253 nt
Filed under: uncultured bacterium
Lineage: Bacteria
Description: partial 16S ribosomal RNA
Rfam family: Bacterial small subunit ribosomal RNA
Source: RNAcentral